RNAcentral lists this transfer RNA (73 nucleotides) under Pangasianodon hypophthalmus (striped catfish). RNAcentral's name for it is "tRNA-Val". The record is from RNAcentral. Lineage: Eukaryota; Metazoa; Chordata; Actinopteri; Siluriformes; Pangasiidae.
GUUUCUGUCCUGUAGUGGUUAUCACGUUUGCCUCACAUGUGAAAGGGCCCCGGUUUGAAACCGGGCAGAAACA